Molecule: long non-coding RNA, 437 nt
Organism: Cebus imitator (Panamanian white-faced capuchin)
Lineage: Eukaryota; Metazoa; Chordata; Mammalia; Primates; Cebidae
Exons: 3
Source: RefSeq, a predicted model, not a curated record
AGAUGGAGUUUUUUUUCUUUUUUUUUUUUUUUCUUCCCUCUUGUGCUCAGUCACCCUGUUUUUGAGGUCUCUUUUCUCUACACCAUGGUUCACAAUUUAUUUUGGGGGAAAUAUCUUGAGCAGGAUACAACGGGAAAAGUCUCUGCCCCUUUCUGUUUGAAAUUCAUUUUUAUCCCUUCCUGUCUGAACAAAAACUAUAUGGAAUCAACACCACCGAGCUCUGUGGGAAAAAAGGAAAACCUGCUCUCUUCACCCAGCUGGAAGCUGGAGGGUGUAGGCCCCUGUGUAGUAGUGCAUAGAAUUCUAGCUUUUUUCCUCCUUUCUCUCUAUAUUGGGCUCAGAGAGUACACUGUGUCUCUAUGUGAAUAUGGACAGUUAGCAUUUACCAACAUGUAUCUGUCUACUUUCUCUUGUUUAAAACAAGAAAAAAAAAACUU